Molecule: ribosomal RNA, 253 nt
Filed under: uncultured bacterium
Lineage: Bacteria
Description: partial 16S ribosomal RNA
Rfam family: Bacterial small subunit ribosomal RNA
Source: RNAcentral
UACGUAGGGUGCAAGCGUUAAUCGGAAUUACUGGGCGUAAAGCGUGCGCAGGCGGUCAUGCAAGACAGAUGUGAAAUCCCCGGGCUCAACCUGGGAACUGCAUUCGAGACUGCAUUGCUGGAGUACGGAAGAGGAGGGCGGAAUUCCCGGUGUAGCGGUGAAAUGCGUAGAUAUCGGGAGGAACAUCAGUGGCGAAGGCGGCCCUCUGGUCCAGUACUGACACUCAAGUGCGAAAGCGUGGGGAGCAAACAGG